This 780-nucleotide non-coding RNA is filed under the name Glyphodes perspectalis. The record is from RNAcentral. Lineage: Eukaryota; Metazoa; Arthropoda; Insecta; Lepidoptera; Crambidae.
AAUAAAUUUUUUAUGGUUUAAAAAUUUUAUUAUAAAUUUAUUUUGCAUAUAAAUUUUAGUAAUAAUUUUUAAUUAUUUUAAUAAUAAUUAAUUUAAUAAGUAGUAGUAAUUAAUAUUAAAAAUUUAAGAAAUUAAGAUUUAGUAAUAUUUAAAUUAAUAACAAAUUUUGUGCCAGCAGUUGCGGUUAAACAAAAGUUAAAUUAAAUUUUAUUAGUAAUUAAUAAAUAAAUUAUUAAUUUUAAAUAAAUAUUAAAUUAUUAAGUGAAAUUUUAAUUUAAUUAAAAUUAAUAUAAAAUUUAUGAUUUAAUAAAUUUUUAAAAUAAACUAGGAUUAGAUACCCUAUUAUUAAAAAUUUAAAUUUAUAAUGCUAAAAUAGUAUGUAAUUAUUUAUUGAAACUUAAAUAAUUUGGCGGUAUCUUAGUUCAUUUAGAGGAAUCUGUUUAAUAAUUGAUAGUCCACGAAUAAAUUUACUUAAUUUAAUAUUUUGUAUAUCGUUGUUAAAAAAAUAUUUUUAAAUAAUAAUAAUAUUUAAAAAUUAAAAUUAAAAAUUAAAUCAGAUCAAGAUGCAGAUUAUAAUUAAGAAUAUAAUGGAUUACAAUGAAUUUAUUUAAACUAAUAUUAAUUUGUAAAUAAUUAAUUGAAGGGGGAUUUAAAGGUAAUUUUAUUUAAUUUAUUAAAAUGAUUAUAAAUUAAAAUAUGUACAUAUUGCCCGUCGCUUUCAUAAAUAAAUUGAAAUAAGUCGAAACAAAGUAAAGGUACUGGAAAGUGUUUCUAGAAAUA